GCCUCUGUAGCUCAGUUGGUUAGAGCGCUGCACCGGAAUCGCAGGGCCGUAGGUUCAAUUCCUACCAGAAACC
RNAcentral lists this transfer RNA (73 nucleotides) under Paramuricea clavata. It matches the Rfam family "tRNA". From Rfam's summary of the family: Transfer RNA (tRNA) molecules are approximately 80 nucleotides in length. Their secondary structure includes four short double-helical elements and three loops (D, anti-codon, and T loops). Lineage: Eukaryota; Metazoa; Cnidaria; Anthozoa; Malacalcyonacea; Plexauridae. The record is from Rfam by way of RNAcentral.